Molecule: transfer RNA, 68 nt
Filed under: Ictidomys tridecemlineatus (thirteen-lined ground squirrel)
Lineage: Eukaryota; Metazoa; Chordata; Mammalia; Rodentia; Sciuridae
Description: Spermophilus tridecemlineatus (thirteen-lined ground squirrel) tRNA
Rfam family: tRNA
About the family: Transfer RNA (tRNA) molecules are approximately 80 nucleotides in length. Their secondary structure includes four short double-helical elements and three loops (D, anti-codon, and T loops).
Source: Rfam by way of RNAcentral
GUGGUGGCUCAGUGGUAGAGUGCUUACCUAGCAUGUGUGAGGCACUGGGUUCAAUUCACAGCACCACA